GCGAUGUCAAACAGCAUUGGUCAAGAAGUGACGUGAGUCAUGCGUUUGCAGGUGCUGACAGUCCUUUGAGCGUCAAGGAACACGUGGAACAGGAAGGCACACGAGAGAUGGUAAAUCUGAUGCAAGCAUCCCCGAGAAGUCAGCACAGAGGACGCGGAUACGUGAUUGGUCAGAUGCGUGUCAGCAGACAUCAACAACCGCAUCCUAUUGGUCAGAAGGGUUGCUGAAGAAUGGCUGUAACCGGUCCAAUACCUCACCUGUACCUUCAGUGGACAUAAUGCCUCGAGCCAGGAUGAGUCUGAGCAGAACUCUGGACUGCAUGUGCGUCCUCUCUCCAUCUCUCUCCCUCUGUAAGACCAUAGAACUUCUGCUAAGCCAUUACACAGGUGACAAACUUUCACACCAAAACCCCCAGGGUCCAGUUCAUUGCUAGAGCUGAUAUCUCUAUGAUCUCACCUAUUUUGCGUCUUUUGCUACAUUUCACAGAAUUUGUCUAAUUAUGUUGAAGCUUAAGCUGUGCAAAAUAAAGACUGUCAUAGAAAAAGAUUGAUAAAAUAUUGUUUUAUUACACUCUACACAGUAAUCAGUCAAAUAAUUGUAUAGAUGUACUGAAUUUGCCUAAAACACUGACUACUGCAAAAAAAAAAAAAAAAAAGUUGUCUUUUAAAUUAUAUUUGAAUGUCCUAAAUUAGCAUUAUAUGCUAAUUUUCAUAGAGCAUAUUGGUAAUGCAUUAACAAUCCUAAGUGCUCUCAUUCUAUGGAGAGGACCGAAAAAUGUGUUUCAUAUCAAAACAGGUGAUCUGCAUUCUCUGAAGGACUCUUAUGCCUGGAUGCACAUGUUUUCUACUUUCAUAGAACCUUCUCCCAAAGUGUAAUCCUUUUUAAAUUGCCUGUGGCCACCAAAUAUAGCGGCAAAAGUGUGUCACAUUUCUAUAUUUCUUACAGAUCUUCGGGGGCUUAUGGAGAUAAAAAGGGAGACAGCAUAGACUGUAGGUGAGGGACUGACUACAUGUAAUUGAGUCCAAGCUCACACUGCCAAAAUAUGUGGAGGCAUGCAUGGAUUCCUCUAGAUUAGCAAUAUGGGCUUGUUUCCGUGGUAUUAGCCAAGUAUCUUAGCAACAGGAUCACAGCAACCUCACACAUCGUGAUGUGCAGCCGCAUGUAAUAACCUGAACAUAAUCUUUUUUCUCCUGCUUCCUUUUCACCUCCUCCCGUGCUUUCUUUGAAUUUCGCUGGUGAUAUUACCGAUACAUAUGUUCGGUUUGAGAUCUUUAUUUAAUAAGAUGAAACGAUGCAGUGGAGAUUUGCUCUGUGUCAUGAGUGGACAGGGCAGAAUGCCUCAGGAGCUUAUAGGAGCUCCAUGUCUUUUGUCUCAGAUUGACAGGAGUCGUGCUUACCAUGCUUAAGCUCGGCUGCUUAGUGUGUAUCUUUGAACUG
This is a long non-coding RNA of Carassius gibelio (silver crucian carp), 1437 nucleotides long. RefSeq lists it as uncharacterized. The transcript is spliced from 3 exons. The record is from RefSeq and is a predicted model, not a curated record. Lineage: Eukaryota; Metazoa; Chordata; Actinopteri; Cypriniformes; Cyprinidae.